Sphaeramia orbicularis (orbiculate cardinalfish) is the source of this 557-nucleotide long non-coding RNA. RefSeq lists it as uncharacterized. The transcript has 3 exons. The record is from RefSeq and is a predicted model, not a curated record. Lineage: Eukaryota; Metazoa; Chordata; Actinopteri; Kurtiformes; Apogonidae.
ACCCGCCCCCGAGCAGACGAACAACAAAAAUGGAGUUGUGAAGUAGUAGCAACUUAGCUAUCUACAGACGGUACAUUUAGUUGAGUAUUUUACAAAUACGUUCACAGAAGUAGAUGUUUCUAUUUGUUUAGAGUACAGAGAUGCUGGUAAAUCACAUCCAUAUGUAGUUUAUGCUCUGUAUCAGUCGUAAAGAGCUGGCGAAGUGGUAAACAAACCGGUGUCUUGGCUACGACAAAGGCUUGCUAGCUAGCUAGCUGAAACGGUAGCAUUCACCAGGUUUCACUGUCAACAUAUUAGCUAAAUUAGUUAACAAACGAAGAUACUGAGACUCGGACAGAAAUGGACAAGGCAGAUUUCUUAAAGGGACUUCCAGUUUAUAAUAAAAGCAACUUCAGCAGGUUUCAUGCGGACUCUGUGUGCAAAGCAUCAAACCGUCGACCAUCUGUGUAUCUUCCAACCCGUGAAUAUCCAUCUGAGCAGAGUGAGUACAUUAGCUUUUUAAGUACGGUUAUAAAGUGAGGAAAACAGCAAUCUACAUUGUAUGAAAAUGCAGUAUU